Molecule: non-coding RNA, 77 nt
Organism: Potamilus streckersoni
Lineage: Eukaryota; Metazoa; Mollusca; Bivalvia; Unionida; Unionidae
Source: the annotation of a GenBank genome assembly
GACCGUUACGGUGGUCUAGUGGUUAGAGCGUCUGCCUCAGAUGCGGGAGGUCGUGGAUUCGAGCCCCGGCUGAGUCU